This 844-nucleotide ribosomal RNA is filed under the name uncultured bacterium. RNAcentral's name for it is "bacterial SSU rRNA". It matches the Rfam family "Bacterial small subunit ribosomal RNA", at positions 61 to 900 of the family's 1533-position model. The record is from RNAcentral.
GUCGAGGGGCAGCACGAUGUAGCAAUACAUUGGUGGCGACCGGCGCACGGGUGAGUAACGCGUAUGCAACCUACCUAUCAGAGGGGAAUAACCCGGCGAAAGUCGGACUAAUACCGCAUAAAACAGGGGUUCCACAUGGAAAUAUUUGUUAAAGAAUUAUCGCUGAUAGAUGGGCAUGCGUUCCAUUAGAUAGUUGGUGAGGUAACGGCUCACCAAGUCCACGAUGGAUAGGGGUUCUGAGAGGAAGGUCCCCCACACUGGUACUGAGACACGGACCAGACUCCUACGGGAGGCAGCAGUGAGGAAUAUUGGUCAAUGGGCGAGAGCCUGAACCAGCCAAGUCGCGUGAAGGAUGAAGGAUCUAUGGUUUGUAAACUUCUUUUAUAUGGGAAUAAAGUGAGGAACGUGUUCCUUUUUGUAUGUACCAUAUGAAUAAGCAUCGGCUAACUCCGUGCCAGCAGCCGCGGUAAUACGGAGGAUGCGAGCGUUAUCCGGAUUUAUUGGGUUUAAAGGGUGCGUAGGUGGUUAAUUAAGUCAGCGGUGAAAGUUUGUGGCUCAACCAUAAAAUUGCCGUUGAAACUGGUUGACUUGAGUAUAUUUGAGGUAGGCGGAAUGCGUGGUGUAGCGGUGAAAUGCAUAGAUAUCACGCAGAACUCCGAUUGCGAAGGCAGCUUACUAAACUAUAACUGACACUGAAGCACGAAAGCGUGGGGAUCAAACAGGAUUAGAUACCCUGGUAGUCCACGCAGUAAACGAUGAUUACUAGCUGUUUGCGAUACACAGUAAGCGGCACAGCGAAAGCGUUAAGUAAUCCACCUGGGGAGUACGCCGGCAACGGUGAAAC